AUUGAACGCUGGCGGCAGGCUUAACACAUGCAAGUCGAACGAGUGGCGGACGGGUGAGUAAUGCCUGGGAAUCUAGCUUAUGGAGGGGGAUAACUACGGGAAACAGUAGAUAAUACCGCGUACCAUAGGAUGAGCCCAAGUGGGAUUAUGUAGAUGGUGAGGUAAAGGCUCACAAAGCCGACGAUCUCUAGCUGGUAUGAGAGGAUGACCAGCCACACUGGGACGGAGACCCGGCCCAGACUCCGACGGGAGGCAGCAGGGGGGAAGAUUGCACAAUGGGCGCAAGCCUGAUGCAGCCAUGCCGCGUGUGUGAAGAAGGCCUUCGGGUUGUAAAGCACUUUCAGCGAGGAGGCGUUACUCGCAGAAGAAGCACCGGCUAACUCCGUGCCAGCAGCCGCGGUAAUUC
RNAcentral lists this ribosomal RNA (406 nucleotides) under uncultured bacterium. RNAcentral describes it as "partial 16S ribosomal RNA". It matches the Rfam family "Bacterial small subunit ribosomal RNA", at positions 29 to 526 of the family's 1533-position model. The record is from RNAcentral.